AUGGCUCAGGAUGAACGCUAGCUACAGGCUUAACACAUGCAAGUCGAGGGGCAGCAUAUCGAAAGCUUGCUUUGAUGAUGGCGACCGGCGCACGGGUGAGUAACGCGUAUCCAACCUUCCCUAUACUAGAGGAUAGCCCGGCGAAAGUCGGAUUAAUACUCUAUGUUGUAUUUCGAGGACAUCUGAAUAAUACCAAAGGUUUACCGGUAUAGGAUGGGGAUGCGCCUGAUUAGGUUGUUGGCGGGUAACGGCCCACCAAGCCCACGAUCAGUAGGGGUUCUGAGAGGAAGGUCCCCCACGAUUGGAACUGAGACACGGUCCAAACUCCUACGGGAGGCAGCAGUGAGGAAUAUUGGUCAAUGGACGAGAGUCUGAACCAGCCAAGUAGCGUGCAGGAUGACGGCCCUAUGGGUUGUAAACUGCUUUUAUACAGGGAUAAAGUGCACUACGUGUAGUGUUUUGUAGGUACUGUAUGAAUAAGGACCGGCUAAUUCCGUGCCAGCCGCCGC
Molecule: ribosomal RNA, 509 nt
Filed under: uncultured bacterium
Lineage: Bacteria
Description: bacterial SSU rRNA
Rfam family: Bacterial small subunit ribosomal RNA
Source: RNAcentral